Molecule: long non-coding RNA, 320 nt
Organism: Pezoporus flaviventris
Lineage: Eukaryota; Metazoa; Chordata; Aves; Psittaciformes; Psittacidae
Exons: 3
Source: RefSeq, a predicted model, not a curated record
CAGGGUGAAGGUAAAAAGUCUCUCCUGCUCUCCACUGGUGGAAGGUGUGAGAAGUGGCUAAAGCCAAAGCCAGGGUUUGUUGUUCCUCUUCUAGGUGAUCCAGAGCAAGUUCUGGAGCAACCAAGGAAAUUGUGUUCCCUGUAGAUAAAACUCGAAGUAUCCAUUUGUUGGAAGGAAAGCAAAACGGAGCCUGUUGGUGGAAGUCUCAAAUAUUUUGGUGAGUUGAUGGCCAUAAAAGCGUUCCUUCUGUGUUGCUUUGCUGGCUUAACAAAGCAAGCUCUAACUGGUCUUGUUGUGCUUCGUGUGCAAAAAGUCCUCAG